CCUACGGGAGGCAGCAGUGAGGAAUAUUGGUCAAUGGACGAGAGUCUGAACCAGCCAAGUAGCGUGAAGGAUGACUGCCCUAUGGGUUGUAAACUUCUUUUAUAAAGGAAUAAAACGAGGCACGUGUGCCUGUUUGCAGGUACUUUAUGAAUAAGGAUCGGCUAACUCCGUGCCAGCAGCCGCGGUAAUACGGAGGAUCCGAGCGUUAUCCGGAUUUAUUGGGUUUAAAGGGAGCGUAGGUGGGUUGUUAAGUCAGUUGUGAAAGUUUGCGGCUCAACCGUAGAAUUGCAGUUGAUACUGGCAGUCUUGAGAAGAGUUGAGGUAGGCGGAAUGCGUGGUGUAGCGGUGAAAUGCUUAGAUAUCGCGAAGAACCCCGAUUGCGAAGGCAGCUUACUAGCCUGUGACUGACGUUGAUGCUCGAAAGUGUGGGUAUCAAACAGGAUUAGAUACCCUUGUAGUC
Molecule: ribosomal RNA, 460 nt
Filed under: uncultured bacterium
Lineage: Bacteria
Description: partial 16S ribosomal RNA
Rfam family: Bacterial small subunit ribosomal RNA
Source: RNAcentral